Molecule: non-coding RNA, 207 nt
Organism: Vicia faba (fava bean)
Lineage: Eukaryota; Viridiplantae; Streptophyta; Magnoliopsida; Fabales; Fabaceae
Source: the annotation of a GenBank genome assembly
AUGACGAUGGCAAAAGAUGCAGGGGACGAUUGGAUUCGGUUUCCGGCGAGGUUGUCAGCGAGGGCUGAAGGUAGAGCUUGGGCGCAUAUUAGAUCUGGACGGAGGUGCAGUGGUGGUUCACGAAAGAAGUUGGAGAAGCGAACACCGAUGGUUGAAGGCGACGACGUGGGUCCGCGCGGCUUCAAGGAGAGUUGCUGGAAGGAGUGA